Molecule: ribosomal RNA, 449 nt
Filed under: Aridelus rufiventris
Lineage: Eukaryota; Metazoa; Arthropoda; Insecta; Hymenoptera; Braconidae
Description: eukaryotic LSU rRNA
Source: RNAcentral
GAAACCCAAAAGAUCGAAUGGGGAGAUUCAUCAUCAACAUAUUUAGUAUGUAUGCGAGUUAUGAUGUAAAGUAUCCUUGUGAUAAUGUUGUACAUGCUUGUAUUACUUAUUGCUAGAUAUUGUCGGCGUGCACUUCUCCCCUAGUAGGACGUCGCGACCCGUUGAGUGUUGGUCUACGGCCUGGAUGGUAGUCUUUGAUUAUUUAUAAUUGAAGACCUCUAGUAAUCUGAUCAUCUGCUCGGCGGUAUUCGCACGGUAUUGAGCCGCAAUUUUAUUUGCGUCAAGCCCGUUGCAAGCGAGGUCAGUUCUUGGUAGUGCGGAUUUAAUGCCGUCACUGAGACUGAUCAGCUGUUGGUUAACGGUGUUCUUUGACUGACUCAAAAUAAUUACCGGUCAGCGACGCUACUGCUUUGGGUACUUUCAGGACCCGUCUUGAAACACGGACCAAA